Small nucleolar RNA from Ciona intestinalis (vase tunicate), 85 nucleotides. The record is from Ensembl. NCBI's taxonomy places the organism in Eukaryota, Metazoa, Chordata, Ascidiacea, Phlebobranchia, Cionidae.
UGCCAAUGAUGAUUCAGCCAUGCUAAUACUGAGAGAAAAGUGUUUAUUUUCCACUGAGUACAAAUUUCUCAUGAUUCUGAGGCAU